AGUAAGUCUCAAAGCAGACGACGUGGUAAACUUUCAAAAUGAGACUAAACUUUUACUUGCUGUGGAAUAUGGCAUUUAUAUUAUUUCUUUUCAUUGCUUUCCUUUAUUUCAUAUUUUCUUCCUUGCAAAGGUAGACAUUUUUUUGGCGGACUUACAUGUUUUAGGACAUUAAAUUAAACUGACGUCGCCAAAGUUCUCUGCGCACCUUCUUGUCAAAACAGUGUGACGGUCUAUAUUUAGACUGUGCGGCGUCAUAAAACCAUAGUGAUAAAAAUGUCGGCCAACUGAUGAAGUGGAAUAGAGAAUAGACGCGGCUGCCAAUGGAUAUAUUCCCAAGACACAAUUGACUACCCCUUUAUGAACAUCAGCAGAAGCUGUAUCAGACUGGCAUGAUGCUGAUGUAGAAACUGGGAAUACGAUGGCAGAGACACAGCCACCUCAGACAGACAAUGAGAAGCUGUCCAAAUUACUCCGCUUCUUGGAGCAGGACAGUAUCGUGUUUGGAGACAACAGAAAGAAAUUAGAUUCAACUGAGAAGCCUCAACUAAGUCAGAGAGUGAAGACGUUCUAUGUAGACACAUGGCCGAGGGAGUCGCCAAAGACAGGUAGGGGGGCUGGCUUGGGUUAUAGUGGGUGGGGGAGGAAGUGAAGACAUUCUACGUAGACACAUGGCCGAGGGAGUUGCCAAAGACAGGUAGGGGGCUGGCUUGGGUUAUAGUGGGUGGGGAGGAAGUGAAGACGUUCUACGUAGACACAUGGCCGAGGGAGUUGCCAAAGACAGGUAGGGGGCUGGCUUGGGUUAUAGUGGGUGGGGGA
Haliotis rubra (blacklip abalone) is the source of this 816-nucleotide long non-coding RNA. RefSeq lists it as uncharacterized. Lineage: Eukaryota; Metazoa; Mollusca; Gastropoda; Lepetellida; Haliotidae. The transcript has 3 exons. The record is from RefSeq and is a predicted model, not a curated record.